This 336-nucleotide unclassified non-coding RNA is filed under the name Hevea brasiliensis (rubber tree). The record is from RNAcentral. Lineage: Eukaryota; Viridiplantae; Streptophyta; Magnoliopsida; Malpighiales; Euphorbiaceae.
GACACAUAGUUCAUCUAUAUACUGCACCCUAGUUCAUACAGUUAUCAGUACAUUAGUUAUUUUGACCAUUGUUACAUAACCACAGUCAGCUCUCUGUGCCACAACAUAGUCCAAGAUCAAUUGAACAGAAUACAUGGCUUAAAAAAUUCCUCAAUUUGGUCUUCUGUAAGACAGCAAACCUCACACAUCAUUUACAUGAGUAGCAUAGCGAAAAGAACUUAACAGGGUAGUUAUGUUAAAAGAAAAUAGAGAAUUUCAACACAUAAUUAUAAAUCAAAGGUUUCCUUUUGGCAGAGUGCUAUAUGUUACCAGAUUGCCUCCAGCCACUUAACAAGC